This is a long non-coding RNA of Oncorhynchus kisutch (coho salmon), 3224 nucleotides long. RefSeq lists it as uncharacterized. The transcript has 2 exons. The record is from RefSeq and is a predicted model, not a curated record. NCBI's taxonomy places the organism in Eukaryota, Metazoa, Chordata, Actinopteri, Salmoniformes, Salmonidae.
UUUUUAUUUUUGUUCAAGUGAUCAGAAAUACGGUUUUGAAUGUUGAGUAAUGUAAGUAGUUUAAACUAGAUGACAUUGAACCGUGUCUUUCUGGACCGGUGUUACACGUGUGGAUUAUUUCCACGCACGCGGGUUUAUCGUUGGUUUUAGUUCGAUAAAUAGACCGGUUCCCUUCAGGUGUUAUUUUUAGUUUAAGAAGUAUUCUAGUGUUAUUUUAAUUUUAACGUGGGGUGUACUACAUUACCGGGGUAGCUAAAGUAGAUAGCAUUGCUAACUAGGAAUCUGCGUCAGUGAUUCAUUACAAACUAAACGGACAUCGUUUGAAUGACGGUAAAUGUGGAUGCACUCGGUUAUUUUAAUUUUAGUACAUUUUGAUAAACUAUUAUCUAGAUGACUUAUAACUGGCAUCAUACCCGUGUUGAAUAUUUAUUAUUAUAUUUAUUAUAUAAAUAUAUAUUUUUAGCAACGUUAAGUCACUUGCUUUCAGUCUUUAGUUUAAAGCUGCAGACACACCGUUCAGAUCACCUCCUAGUGACAUGUUGAGGUGUGUGUGUGUGUGUGUGUGUAUAGAAAUGCCCUUUGACUCGCACAAACUCGCUUCAAACGUUAAAUGUGCAUCGUCAUGGCCCGUCUCUGCUGCUCCAGUUUUAACCCGCAGUACAAUAGGGACAUUGACCUUGAAUGAAGACGGGGCAGAGGGUUCGCCUCCCAUUGCACAACUACUCUGUAUUAAACGGUAUUAAACUAUUGUGCAAAACGGGGCAAUAUUUCAGACAAAUCGAUUUUAUUUGAUUUUUCUGAGGUUUAUUGCCACACCAUAUAGAAGCAGUUCUUUCUCAACAUGACCUUUGGAAAGUGUCUGUGGUGGAGAAGAAAGGGGCACUGUACUAAUGUAGUUUGUCCCAAACUGCACCCUAUUCCCUAUGUAGUCUAGUGCACAACUUUUGGGCACAUUUAUUUAUUUCAAGUUGUGGCAGCCAAGUCACCCACAGGCUAACAGUUGGAGGAACCAUAAAGAAGGCCUACUUGGCUCCUGAGUUUAUAACCCGGACUAUUUCCUUGUACAACUUCCUCCUUACUGUCAUGAAUUCACGUGUUGUGCACAAGGCUGCUCUUUCUUUAAAAAAAGAGGCAACAUGGCUCUUGAUCCAGGAGAGACUUGAUUUGUCUUUGUUGUAUCAAAGAAGCUUGAUUUAGCCACUUAGCUACUAGCAAGUUAGCAAACCAAAUGCUUAGCUGGAGCCCAGAGCUGGAUAUCAUUUAUUUAACACAUUUUAGAGUUACCUAUAAACAGUGGCAUAGCACCUACAAAUAAUGUGUGUAUAUAUAAUACAAAAUACAUUAUUAAAUCAUAAGUUAUGCUUAGUUAAAGUUUCAAGAAAACAAUGUUUAAAUAUCCCAGUAUAUCGCCCAAGACUUAAUACAUUUCCCAGGAAAGGGAACACGUUUGAAUCACGGAGACCUACUGGUUAUUGAUAACUUCCUGGUUUUCAGUCAGUUGCUCACAGAGAAACCUAAUAACCUUCCCUGGUUGAUCUGGUUUAUUUCAGUCUAUCAUAACAAGCAGGGGUAUUUCAGGCCUGGUCAUAACUCACUAGACUAACCCAUUCUCAUACUGUAGGAUCAUGGUGGCUGAAGACCUGAUACUUACUACAGCUCUUUGGAUUGUGUGAGCUGAAAAUCAAAACUGCUUUAGACCUACCCUAAACGCUCAAAUUAUGAUAUAUAUAUUUUUAAAUUUAAAGGGGUGAUAAUAAAUGGGAACUUUGUCUAAACUUGUUAAUUUCAGCAGGUUUCAGUCACUGGAAGAUCUGCUUGGAGUGAUCUCCUGGCAUCAGACAAGGCCUCCUGCGGGGCUGGAAUUUAAAAAACAAUUUAAGACAAACUGGCAACCGCACAACUACAACAGCAGACAGUGGAUUGUGAGGUAGAACACGGUGCCUUACAUGAAACAACUAAUUGUCUCAACCUGUUCAUCGGUGGAUAUGGAGCAGAGAACCUGAUAUCUAGAACAAGAAACUAAUGGAUAUGGAGGAGAGAACCUGAUAUCUAGAACAAGAAACUAAUGGAUAUGGAGCAGAGAACCUGAUAUCUAGAACAAGAAACUAAUGGAUAUGGAGCAGAGAGAACCCGAUAUCUAGAACAAGAAACUAAUGGAUAUGGAGCAGAGAACCUGAUAUCUAGAACAAGAAACUAAUGGAUAUGGAGGAGAGAACCCGAUAUCUAGAACAAGAAACUAAUGGAUAUGGAGCAGAGAGAACCCGAUAUCUAGAACAAGAAACUAAUGGAUAUGGAGCAGAGAGAACCUGAUAUCUAGAACAAGAAACUAAUGGAUAUGGAGCAGAGAACCCGAUAUCUAGAACAAGAAACGAAUGGAUAUGGAGUAGAGAACCCGAUAUCUAGAACAAGAAACGAAUGGAUAUGGAGCAGAGAGAACCCGAUAUCUAGAACAAGAAACGAAUGGAUAUGGAGCAGAGAACCUGAUAUCUAGAACAAGAAACGAAUGGAUAUGGAGCAGAGAGAACCCGAUAUCUAGAACAAGAAACGAAUGGAUAUGGAGCAGAGAACCUGAUAUCUAGAACAAGAAACUAAUGGAUAUGGAGGAGAGAACCCGAUAUCUAGAACAAGAAACUAAUGGAUAUGGAGCAGAGAGAACCCGAUAUCUAGAACAAGAAACGAAUGGAUAUGGAGUAGAGAGAACCGAUAUCUAGAACAAGAAACGAAUGGAUAUGGAGUAGAGAGAACCCGAUAUCUAGAACAAGAAACGAAUGGAUAUGGAGCAGAGAACCCGAUAUCUAGAACAAGAAACGAAUGGAUAUGGAGCAGAGAGAACCUGAUAUCUAGAACAAGAAACUAAUGGAUAUGGAGGAGAGAACCUGAUAUCUAGAACAAGAAACGAAUGGAUAUGGAGCAGAGAGAACCUUAUAUCUAGAACAAGAAAUUAAUGGAUAUGGAGGAGAGAACCUGAUAUCUAGAACAAGAAACGAAUGGAUAUGGAGCAGAGAGAACCCGAUAUCUAGAACAAGAAACUAAUGGAUAUGGAGCAGAGAGAACCAUGUUCACGUUCACCAACAAACACCCAGUGCUGCAGAAGACUGAGGGAGCCUGGCAGAAAUGAAUAGACAGUAGAUGCUUAAGUGAAGUCUCGUGAUUCCAAUCGCUUUUACCUAAUAGGCUUCUACAACAUACAUGCCAGUGGUAGGCCCAUUCCAAAGCCCAUGUUU